GAAUUUUAAAAUUGAGCAAAGUUUUACUAAUUUAUAGAGUAUAGUGGUUUUAGGAGCAAAGUUUACUACGUUUGUGUUAUUGUUACUCAAAAAUAUAAAAGUAAACAAAAAAGAAAACUACCUCUAUCUACUUUUGUCGAUGUUAAUUUCUUAAGAAGUUUCUCAUUAAAACAACCCUUAACUCAGUGUCCACGCCCAGGGCAGGGCUAGGGCGGUUAGCGUAACUACAAGUGGUUAACUUACAGUUAGCCAACUGAAGAACAAUCAACAAUGCCCGAUUAAUAAGUGAUCGCGCUGCUUGUCUACUACAUGUCCCUGCACUAGUUAUAGCAGUAAUUUCUUUGUUGGGAAGUAUUUAGCACAUCCGGGCUGCGCAAAAGGAGAGGACUAAAUUGAUUAUUAUGAACAGACCAUUAUGAUGAACCACUGAUAUUGACUCAGAGACAUGAAGAUGAGGGCUUUGACAACAAGACUGACUAGCUGAGCCAGCUUAAGAAUUAUGUGGUGUGUGUGUGUGUCUAAUUCCAGGAGCUCUCUAUGUCAGCCAUCCAUCUAUAUUCUUACUCAUUUUUGUUAAUUAUAAAAUAAAUUUGAUUAUUUA
Molecule: long non-coding RNA, 601 nt
Organism: Bicyclus anynana (squinting bush brown)
Lineage: Eukaryota; Metazoa; Arthropoda; Insecta; Lepidoptera; Nymphalidae
Exons: 2
Source: RefSeq, a predicted model, not a curated record